CUUUUUCGGACUAUUUAGACACUUUGUUAAGAUAUUAAAUGACAGUUUCAUACAGCAUUAUCAAGAGUCUUUGGACAAGGUUAUUGUGGUAGAUGUGUGCAACAAUUUGAUUCUCCUAGCAUUUAUGGUUUUGUACCAUUUUAAAAUAAUAUGACUAUUAUUUUUGUUACUUAUAUAAAUAUCUUUACAACGAUUUAGUUUGAAUGUGGUCAGAAAAUUUGCGUCUAAAACCACAGUGUAGAUCUUUUUGUAGUAAACUACAGUCACUGCCAUAGAGGUGCUCGGCUACACUGUUAUUUUCCAAAAAUAUUCAUAAUCCAAGUGUAGGAAACAGUAAAUAACAACAACAAUAAUAAUAACUGCUGAUAGUUAGAUAUUUGCAAUUGGAGGUUUUCCUAGCUCGAAGGAUUUGCAUAUUGGGAGGAUGCCAGCCCUUCAUCUGGAAUUCUUGCCCAGCUUCAGGGGCUGGGCAGUGGGCAGUCAAGACAAUAACUACUAAAUGUUAAUCCCAAACUAGUUGGGGUCGAUUAUAUGGAUCCUUUUUUGUCAUUAAACUCUAUUUGAAAUCAAUUCCACAUCAAUAUCCAAAAAAUGUAAAUCCUUUGAUACUACUUUACUCCAUGUCAUUUUAGGUUUCUCCCUUUUCCCUUUUCACUCAUUCCAUCACUAACUUAUCAAACUUCCAUAAUAGAACAUUAUAUGCUCUUUUUUGGACAUGACUAAACCAUCUUAAUCAAUCUUCUUUUAUUUUAUCCCCAAGUAUGCUACAUGCACUUGCUGGCGGAUGUGAUCAUUUCUAAUCUUAUCCAUUAUCGUGUUACCAAACAUUCAUCUUAACAUCCGCAUUUCUGCCAUACAUAUCUUAUGGGUAUUCCCAUAAAUAUAGCUAGUCUAAUCACAAUUUUAUAGAACUUACCUUUCACUUUGUU
Molecule: unclassified non-coding RNA, 929 nt
Filed under: Hevea brasiliensis (rubber tree)
Lineage: Eukaryota; Viridiplantae; Streptophyta; Magnoliopsida; Malpighiales; Euphorbiaceae
Source: RNAcentral